This 253-nucleotide ribosomal RNA is filed under the name uncultured bacterium. Its description in RNAcentral is "partial 16S ribosomal RNA". It matches the Rfam family "Bacterial small subunit ribosomal RNA", at positions 524 to 776 of the family's 1533-position model. The record is from RNAcentral.
UACGGAGGGUGCAAGCGUUAUCCGGAUUCACUGGGUUUAAAGGGUGCGUAGGCGGGUUGGUAAGUCCGUGGUGAAAUCUCCGAGCUUAACUCGGAAACUGCCGUGGAUACUAUCUGUCUUGAAUACCGUGGAGGUGAGCGGAAUAUGUCAUGUAGCGGUGAAAUGCUUAGAUAUGACAUAGAACACCAAUUGCGAAGGCAGCUCACUACACGAAUACUGACACUGAGGCACGAAAGCGUGGGGAUCAAACAGG